This 1697-nucleotide long non-coding RNA is filed under the name Solanum tuberosum (potato). RNAcentral's name for it is "long non-coding RNA (STUB_LNC003186)". The record is from RNAcentral. Lineage: Eukaryota; Viridiplantae; Streptophyta; Magnoliopsida; Solanales; Solanaceae.
CCAAGUUUGCGCUCUUCGACCACUAAGCCCAUGUAAGUUCAUAAUGGGGCUGGGCAAAUAAGUAUAAAAAGCCCAAAUAAUUCCAGAUGAAAAAGAGGAUCUUAUCAGUCUCUCUGUGGGGAUGAACAAGAUUGCCGCUUCAGUCCCUUUCAAAACCUCCGACGUCGUGCGACGAUCGGACCCACGGAUUGUCACCGGCGGGAGUAUAGUGACCCAAGAAAAGAUAAAAUUGUCGAGAAUGAAGGUUUCCCCAAAUUCCAUAACAGGUUAAAGAACCCUAAAUCUUGGAGAGCCGCUUUUUGUGGUCAAGAAACUUGUAAGUUGGAUAGGGCUUCUAUGGCUCCUAUUACAGAAUACGAUCGCUACGUUACAAUAAUUUCCACGGAAGAUACGCAUAUCAUAUGCCCCACAAACAAUCGAAUUACUGGUCCAAUUUUACACUUUAGUGCACAAAAAUGAAAUUAUUUUUAAGAAUAUAAUACUAUGCUAAUUGCUAAGUUUGAAUUGAUUAUGUAAUGAGUAACAAUAAUGUGCUGUAUUCCAGAUGUAAUAGUAUAUGAUUAAGAUUUUAAACAAUGUCUUUAGUAGUUAAUGGAGUAACUUUUAACACGAGUAAAAAAGAAAAGGAUAUGGAAUAUGAUGAGUAAGGUGGCGCCAUAACGACCAUAAAAUUUAUCCAAAUUUCUACCACCACCCAAACACCAUCUUCCAAUCCAGACAAAAAACAUUCACUAUAACUCUUUGAAAGUGUGUGUGUGUGUGUUGAAAGUGUGUGUUGGCUGGUGCAGAAGGUGGACAGCUGCAAUGGCUAUGGCAAUAGCUCUUCGGAGGCUUUCCGCUACAGUUGACAAACCGGUUAAGAGUCUCUACAAUGGUGGCUCUCUCUAUUACAUGGUUUGUAUUUAAUACUUGUUUAUUUAUAGUAGUACUACGUAUUACUUUUCCUUAAGUUAUCUUUACUUUGCUUUGUUUGUUGCAGUCAUCACUGCCUAAUGAAGCUGUAUACGACAAAGAAAAAUCUGGGGUAGCUGUAAGUUCAUGAUGAAUUGGAAUCAAUGUGUUAUUUGAAAUUAUACUUGUGUUUUUUUCAUUUCUGACUUGAAUACUUUCAGUGGCCAAAGCAACUGAAUGCUCCACUAGAGGUUGUUGAUCCUGAGAUUGCUGACAUUAUUGAGCAUGAGAAAGCACGCCAAUGGAAGGUUCUAUCUUCUUCUCUUUUUUUUUUCUUUCUUUUCCAUCUCUCACUUACUCAAAUUUUGUUCAAUUACUUAUACUGAUAAAAGCUUUACCGCAAAGGGAUUAAGGCUCAGAUUGUAGCAAAUUAGAACAUUUAACUAGUAAUACUUCGGAACCUGUGCCAAACAUUGAUUUUUCAAUUUCAAUAAACAAGUCUAUAUGAAACCUCUUGCAUGCUUUCUCUGUCGAGUUUGUUGCACGAGGAUUAUAUAGUGCGGUUUACUUAGUUUGUGGGCUAUUACACUGGAGCAGGGUCAAUCAUAUGUGCACCCAAAGUGUAGUGGUUGCGGGUUCCCUUGUCAUAAAAAAAUAAACAAGUCUAUAUGAAAUUACUUUUAGAUAUUUUUAGUAUCGGUGAUGUCCAUGUCAAUUUGCUCACACCUCAAUUAUUCCACCAAUAUUGGCUACCUAGCAUCGGUACAGGGCUUAGAUAGAUGGGGAAAAAUUACCUGGUGUUGUUU